This is an RNA transcript of Oncorhynchus keta (chum salmon), 4491 nucleotides long. RefSeq lists it as uncharacterized. The transcript is spliced from 18 exons. The record is from RefSeq and is a predicted model, not a curated record. Lineage: Eukaryota; Metazoa; Chordata; Actinopteri; Salmoniformes; Salmonidae.
AUGUUCUGUUCAGCUUUUCAGCAGGGAAGGCCUCUGUGGUGGAGUCUGAGGAUAACGUCAACAACAGAACCAGCCAUGUGCUCCAUGAACAAUUCAAACUGGGUGACCUUCGAGGAUGAGUGUACUACAUCUACGUCCCCUUUUUUUUGCCUCAACACCCCUGAAGAUCCCAGGGAGUGGGGAAAAGUUGGCCUCAACACCCCUGAAGAUCCCAGGGAGUGGGGAAAAGUUGGCCUCAACACCCCUGAAGAUCCCAGGGAGUGGGACAAAGUUGGCCUCAACACCCCUGAAGAUCCCAGGGAGUGGGACAGGGAGUGGGGAAAAGUUGGCCUCAACACCCCUGAAGAUUCCAGGGAGUGGGACAAAGUUGGCCUCAACACCCCUGAAGAUCCCAGGGAGUGGGAAAAAGUUGGCCUCAACACCCCUGAAGAUCCCAGGGAGUGGGACAAAGUUGGCCUCAACACCCCUGAAGAUCCCAGGGAGUGGGACAAAGUUGGCCUCAACACCCCUGAAGAUCCCAGGGAGUGGGGAAAAGUUGGCCUCAACACCCCUGAAGAUCCCAGGGAGUGGGGAAAAGUUGGCCUCAACACCCUGAAGAUCCCAGGGAGUGGGGAAAAGUUGGCCUCAACACCCCUGAAGAUCCCAGGGAGUGGGACAAAGUUGGCCUCAACACCCCUGAAGAUCCCAGGGAGUGGGGAAAAGUUGGCCUCAACACCCCUGAAGAUCCCAGGGAGUGGGACAAAGUUGGCCUCAACACCCCUGAAGAUCCCAGGGAGUGGGGAAAAGUUGGCCUCAACACCCCUGAAGAUCCCAGGGAGUGGGACAAAGUUGGCCUCAACACCCCUGAAGAUCCCAGGGAGUGGGACAAAGUUGGCCUCAACACCCCUGAAGAUCCCAGGGAGUGGGGAAAAGUUGGCCUCAACACCCCUGAAGAUCCCACGGAGUGGGGAAAAGUUGGCCUCAACACCCCUGAAGAUCCCAGGGAGUGGGGAAAAUCCCAGGGAGUGGGACAAAGUUGGCCUCAACACCCCUGAAGAUCCCAGGGAGUGGGACAAAGUUGGCCUCAACACCCCUGAAGAUCCCAGGGAGUGGGACAAAGUUGGCCUCAACACCCCUGAAGAUCCCAGGGAGUGGGACAAAGUUGGCCUCAACACCCCUGAAGAUCCCAGGGAGUGGGACAAAGUUGGCCUCAACACCCCUGAAGAUCCCAGGGAGUGGGACAAAAUCCCAGGGAGUGGGGAAAAGUUGGCCUCAACACCCCUGUCGUCCCGACAGUGGGGCCCCAUUUACCUGCGUCUGCUGUCUGGAGGGGUGCUCCAGAUGUACUAUGAGAAAGGACUGGAGAAGCCCUUCAAAGAGUUCCAGCUGCAGCCUCACUGCAGGUUUUCAGAUCUCAAGCUGGAGAGCAACGGAGAGCCUCGCAAACUCCAGACAGUGAAGGUGGAGGACGUGUCUUACACAGAGAAGAAGCGCUACCACCACAAGCUGGAGGUGUCCCACAAGGCUGAGGUGGAGCAGCUGCUGAAAUUUGGAACCACGGAAUACGGCGACAUGGAGGAUCUGUUAGAGACCAUGGAGAAGGAGAUUCUUAGGCUGACUCCGCCCCUGUCGCAAAAACGGCACUACGAGGAACAGGAGAUGACACUGCAGAUCCCAGACCACCUCUGAGUGUAGCUGGACAAGGACGGUGUGGUGAUGGAUCGGGCAGCCAUGACGAGAAUCCACUGCCUGGCUUUCCUCAACGGACCAGGGGAGUGUUUCCUGGCUCUCAACGACCUAGGGCUCCUCCGCUUCCACGCCAGCUACGGCUCUGAGGAGGGCUGGAUGGAGAUCAGUGACUGCCACUUCCACAAGUGCAUCAAUGACUUGGAGUUCCACAAGUCCCGGCUGCUCAAGUUCUCUCCUCCGGACGCCUGUAGAGUAGAACCGAUGCGCUACAAGACAUUAGCCCUGGGAUGUACUAACCUACCGUUCUCCAUCAAAGCCGUGGUGACUGUCCAAGGGGCCUGCGUGGAACUCCAAGCCUUUCUCAACAUAUCAGCCGCCUUCCCGUCAUUUACCGGAGUGUCGGAGACUGAGCCGCUCUGCGAGAACGUUCUGAUCCGUGUGCCGGUACCGGCGGACUGGGUGAAGGUGUCACGCACUGUGACGUUGCUAAGACGGAAGUACCUGCCGGCCUGGAUCAACCCGGAACGCGUGUCUGGGGACAGUCAGUGCUGUUGAGUCACAGCCGGUCAUGCAAGUUACCGUGGGGACAGUUAAGUAUGAGAAUGUGUACUCGGCCAUGGUGUGGAGGAUCGACAGACUCAGUAGAAAAUCCUUCUCCUGUAAAUUAGAGCUUGGUUCAGAUCAGGAGAUCCCCACUGACUGGUAUCUGUUUGUCACGAUGGAGUGUGAGACGGUAGGGGCUGUGGUCUCACAGACCAGAGUGACGUCACUGGGCAAAGACAGUGACGUUCAGCCUCAGAAACAUGUCACCGGUAGGACCCACUAUCAUUGUCAGCCGAAGCUCUACCUGUCCAUCAUAGAUGAUGUGAUUGAGAGCAUGCGGGAGGUGUUUCUGGAUGAAGGACUGGAGGACCGUGUCCUUGAUGACCUGAGACAGCUCUGGGAGUCAAAGAUUAUGCAGUCCAAAGCAGUGGAUGGCUUGGCCCUCAUGAAGAACACCAUCAACUCAUCCAACUUUGUGCUGCAGCUCCCUCCAAACUAUGGACAGACUUUUUCAAAACCUGCAGCCUCUAUGGUGAUCCCUGCAGGUCAACACGUCCAGAGUUUCACUGCUAAGAACAACGGUGGGACUCUAGCCACCUUCUCUCUUCCUCCCGGGAUGACCUACCCAGUCCAGAUCCCUGCAGGGGUCACACUGCAGACGGCCUCUGGCCAGCUUUAUAAGGUCAAUGUCCCAGUGAUGGUGACCCAGACUCCAGCCAGUCAUCGCCAUCUCUCCCAGGCCCAACCCAGGCAAGGGGUACCUGUAGUGGAGUGGAGAGAUCCCAGCUCAGCUUCCCAGCAGUCAGCCACAGUGGUCCCUUCUACUGUCCUAAAGACCAUGGCCCUUCCGAAGACUGAACCCUUUUCCCCACAGCCUGUGGCUCCUCCCAGAGCGGAUCCUCAGACCACAGAGCAGAGGAGCCUGAUUCCUCCGGUCCAGCCACCUAAUGAGAAGCCUUUGCUACCCCAACCUGUGGUCCAGCCCCCAGUUCAGGAGAAUAAUCUUGUUCAGCAGCCACAAGUUCCUUCAGCUCAGGCAACCUUUUCUGGUCAGACUCCAGUGUCCUUCCAGCCCCCAGCCCAACUGCCAUCUCACCCCCCAGAGAGCCCCUUCGACAGUGGUGAUUUCAAUCUGGAUGGGAUUGAUUUUGACAGUCCACAGGCACUAGACAUGAGCCUGUCCUCCGGCUCCGCCCACAUGCCAAGCCUUCAGGUCAAGAUGGAGACGACCCUGUCUGAAGGGUCAGGGUUUAUGGUGAAACAGGAGGAUCAUGGAGGAGCGGUGGCUGAUAUGACAACCCACCUUGAGGGUCUACCUGUGGAUUCUACCAAGCUGGAGAUGGCCCUGUUGAAAGACUACAACUACAAUGAUGCUCUGGCAGACAUCAUCCAGCUGGACGGGCCUGCAGACAGCAGCUCUGAGGAGGUGGAGGAGUUGGAAGGAGGUGCGAUGGGAGAAAAUGAGUUCCUAGGAAUGAUGACUGUGGAGGCUCUCCAGGCCCUACAGGAGGUAGAUGGCAGCAGUGAUGAUGGCAUCUCCAGCUCCAGUGGUGACAGUGUGGGGAUGGAUGAAAUCACAGUGGAAGAGGAUCCUUUAAACUCUGGGGAUGACGUGAGUGAGCAGGACAUUCCUGAUCUCUUUGACACUGACAAUGUGAUAGUGUGUCAGUAUGAUAAGAUUCACCGCAGUAAGAACCGGUGGAAGUUCUAUCUGAAGGAUGGGGUGAUGUGUUAUGGAGGAAAGGACUAUGUGUUCUCUAAGGCUGUCGGCGAGGCAGAGUGGUGACUGGGUUUCUGUUAUGUUCCAAUGUCCAUACCAGAAUAGUUCAGAGGCGAAGAGGGGUUUCGUACAAUACCUCUUGGGAUGCAAUGGUAGUACAUUCUAAGUAGCAUGCUAGUGUGAAUAUUGGAUCAGAACCUUGGUCUGUAUUUCACCCAUGUGGAUACAGCCUUGACUUAGUCUUAAAUGUGUCCAACGAGGCACAUAAAACGUGAAUAUAUUGAGAGAAUAAUAUCAUUUGAAGUUAAUGGGGAAAACCACAGUUGUUCAGUGAGCUAGAACAUACAAUCUAUGCAGGUUUCUAAUCUGAAGAAAAGUCUGGAUGAGUAAUGUGUCCGUCCCACACGGCAACCUGUUCCCUAUAUAGUGCACUACUCUUCACCAGCCACCACAGUGCACAAAGGGCUUUUUGAGUUGUUCAUUUUGUUUAUGUAACUAUUUAUUUAUAUUUUUGUAUUUGUUGUGUAAUGCCAUUAAAGGAACACUGAGCACUAAAUUGG